Molecule: long non-coding RNA, 1814 nt
Organism: Ornithorhynchus anatinus (platypus)
Lineage: Eukaryota; Metazoa; Chordata; Mammalia; Monotremata; Ornithorhynchidae
Exons: 3
Source: RefSeq, a predicted model, not a curated record
UGAACAGUCCUGUCCCCAGAACUGCCUUGCAUACCUGUACCUCCCACAGAAGGACUCUUCCAUAUUUGUAAAGGUUUGUUCCCAGGGGAGUGGGAGGUUGGUGUCAGGAUGGAGUGUGUGUAUGUGUGUGCUUAUGUCCAUCCUCACGCCAUUGUUCUCUGGAGUCCUUUAGUCGCCUCCCUGAGUGUUGGUAGGGAGCAUAGAAAGCAGUAAAAGCCCUAGUUAUUGCAGACGUGGCCAGUCAAUUCCUGUUCAGUCUUAGCUCUCCUGGCCUUUUGGUCCAGGUUGUCUUUGGCCUAGGUCUGUGUAGACCCCGAGGAGAGAAGAGUGGAGAAGUCAGGGAGUCUGUGGUCGCUCUCUGUUUUCUGAACAAGAGGUUGAUCUAGCAGCAGAGGAGGAAUGCAUCCUGAAGAGAAGCUUAAUGAUUUACAUUUCAUCCCCUUUCCUUGUCAGCCCCCAGGAGCCCCAUCAGAUCUUCUCCACUCCUGCUGUCAGGCCACAGAGUCCUGUUAUGGGGGAAUCUGCACCUUAGGACAACCUCCACCAUCUCUCACAGCAGAUGCCCAAUAUUUUCUGGACUCAAAGACCAGCCCUGUGCUGUUUUGGACCUUGGAUUAAAUUUCAGAGCUGGCCUGUCACUGAGAUGGAGCCAUGGACUGUACUGCCACCUCAAAGGGAAGGUUUUUUUUUUUUCCUGUGUGUAUGUGUGUGAGAGAGAGAAUGGCGGGCGUUAAGGUUAGCUGAAUUUGGGGAGAGCAGUGAGGAAGGGGAGGCCACUGUGGACACAGAAGCUGCUUCUGGAGAUGGGGGCUGGGGCUCUGUACACUGAACUGGUUCUGUUUUGACUUGACAGUGGACCUGAGGAGACUCGGGGCCCUUAAUUCUAUAGACGGGUCUAACCUCUGGGUGCUCACAGUCAUGUCUGCAGAGUCACUCUGUACAUCCUCAGUCUUCCAUGUAGGGACUCUUCUGUGUCAGACAGUUGGUUUUGGGGAAUAGAGGUGGGAGGUGGUUUGGAGAGAGGCAGGGAAGUUGGUCUACAUGAUGAUCCUCUGAGAAACUGAAUUAUGGUGACUCUGGUGUGAGAUGGAUGUCAGUGGUGAGAGAAUGAGGUGUAGUGAGUGAACUGCAUAGAAGCUGGAGAGCUGGAAAUGCAGGCAUUGUACGAGUAAGUGACUUUGAAUCACAAAUGCCUUAGACAUCUGUAGCUUCCACAGAAGGGACCUUUCUAUAGUUGAAAGGGGAUGCUCUCAGGGAAGAGGGACAAUGUCAAGACUAAGACUGUCUGUCUAACCCCUAUUAUUCUCUGGAGUCCUCCAGCCUCCUGAGUUUUGGUAGGGACCACAGAAAGCAGAUAAAGUCCUGGGUAAAGUCCUGUUCAGUCCACAGUUGCCCCGGAAACCUCUUGUUGUUUGUGUCCCGGUGUUCUCUGGCCUGGACGUGUGGGGAUCCAGGGGGAAGGAAGUGUGGAGAAGCCAGGAUGUGUGAUUGUCCUCACGUGUAGUGAACUGUAAGUUGAUUUGGGGGUGUUGGAGAAAUGUGUCCUUUAGAGAAACCACAUUGUUGGCACUUCGUCCCCUUUCUUUCUCAGCCCCCAGGAGCACAUCAGAUCUGUGCUACUCCUGCUGUCAUGCCAUGGAGCACUAAUGGGGGCAAUCUGGGUACAAGGACCCCUCGACCCUUUCAGCAGCAGAUUCCCAGUGCUUUUCCCGGCCUUAAGGACCAUCCCUCUGCCACUGGGACCACUGAGAUGGAGCCGCAGACUCAACUGCUACAAAGGGAAGAUGUUGGCUUUGUGUGUGUGUGUGUGUCUC